Scophthalmus maximus (turbot) is the source of this 5668-nucleotide long non-coding RNA. RefSeq lists it as uncharacterized. The record is from RefSeq and is a predicted model, not a curated record. The transcript is spliced from 5 exons. Lineage: Eukaryota; Metazoa; Chordata; Actinopteri; Pleuronectiformes; Scophthalmidae.
UUUACCUGCCCCUGCUCAGCAGUGUCACUGCAGGGACCUUUGCCUCUGAUCGGAGGCUUCCGUCCUCCAGUAUUUCACACACUUGCUUUUGGUUUAUUUUCUCACGAUCCUGCACACAUCCCCGUCGAACAUGCAUCGCGGCAAGAUGUUGUGAAGUGUCCCAUGUGGAGCCAGCAGGGGAGCACACUUCUGAGGAGGCCCUAAUGAAGGGAUUUUGAGCCGAUUCUCUGCUGCAGUUGAACCUGAAACAGAUGCAUUUGGACGGAGGCGGCAGCAACAGCAACUUGCUUUAAGGUUAUGGUCUGUGGAAAGGGGUCGGCCCUGCUGUGGUGGCGAUGCAUGAUUCAUCUCUGUUUGUUCUGCCUGUGAUGCCUUUUUGACCGGGACUCUCCUGAAGCGUCGACACAUCUGGACUCAUGGGAUUCCUCCAGAGCCAGAACCUGACUCUGGGCUCCACCCAGCCAGAGGUCAUCUACCUGGAGUCAACGUCACAACUGUUACCAUCCGUUGACAACACCUUCAUCGUGCUCGGCCUGUUGACCUUCGCCCUCCAGCUGUGUUUACUCCUAUUCUUGCUGCUGAGAUAUUGGAGGUUCGACAACAGUGUGGCAGAGGCUCUCAAACACCCGGACACUGCCAACAAACUCCUCGUCCCGUCCAGCGUCUAUCCAGACAUUUACAAACAAGCCAGCUACCAGCUAUUCGACGGGGACACUGCUGCUUCUUGGUCGCCUGCGGUGUCUGCUGGGGAUGAACCCUAUGAAACCAACGAACCCUCCACGCACCCUCUAUUUGCACCUGUCAUACCCUGGGACCUUGUGCAGUGCUGACAGGCUCCCGACCCGUUGAAGCAGUAGUUUUGAAGCGAUGUACGGUCAGUUUUUAAAAGUAAAGGCCUCUGAUAUUUUAGAAUACUGAAAAGAAUACUGCUAGUGUGCCUUUUGCUAUCUUACAGUUUUUCCCCAUUGGUUUGGCUCAUUUCUUGAAAAAGAAAUUACAUUCUCAAAACUCUAAGAUCAUUUGGCAAAACAGUCUUACAGUUCAGCACAACACCAUAGUUCACUUGCAAAAGCUCAUAUCUCUCCCAAACUGUUCACUCAUGCUUCAAAACUAAAUUCCUUCCCCAUAUAAAUAGUCAGCGCCACCAAAAGGCAAAAGAUCCUCCUCAAUUGCUUUGGCUCAUUUCUCGAAACAGACCGGACGUUCUCAACACUCUUGGUGCUUUUGCCAAAAUAACCUGGAUGGUUCAGCACAACACCAUGGUUCACCUGCAAAAGCUCAUAUCUCUCCCAAAACAGUUCACUCAUGUGUCAAAACUAAAUUCCUUUCUCAUAUAAAUAGUCAGUGCCCCCACGAUGCAUUGUCCUUUUGGCAUUGUGUAAGCACUGCAAGUCAAAAUGUUUAGAUGUUUUGUCACUAUGGCAGGAAUGAGGACCAUUGAAAUAUCCCUCAUGUCCACCUCUCAGUCUUAGCCCAGUCCUUCAUUGACAAUGGUUACUGUACUAGUUUUUUUGUCUAGCAAUUGUGUAUAAACCUGAAAAAAAAUAGGAUUUUACGGUAAGAUUGCCCUCCAAGGUUUGACAUCACACAUUGCACUCAUACUACCAAGGAAAUUGUAACCAUUUUUAUUCACACAAAUAAAGUAACUUCCAUAAAUCAGAGUUAAAAGAAAAUGUAUACAGCACAAUAUACUGUAAUAUAAACACAAACAAAAAACAAGGAAAAUUAUAUGUAGCCUACAGUGCUGUAAAUAAAGCUGGAGCUGUCCUCACCCUCCCUCUCCUGGCCACCAUCCUCACCCUCCUGGCCAUCCACACGCUGCUGUCUGUCUGGCCACAGAUUCUCGUCCACAUCACAGCGUAUAUUCUCCCUUGCGAUGCAACGAGGGAAGAAAUGCCGUGCAUGUCGCAAACCAUCCCCAGCACUGAUCUCCUGUAAUAUCAUCACACGCAGCGUCCAUUGCAUGGAGCAGGGACCUCUGAUUUUGAGCCUGAUGCUCAUACACUCUCCACCUCCAUGCGGAGAAAAACUCCUCAAUAGGAUUGAGGAAAGGAGAGUAAGGUGGUAGGACCACACCAUCCUUGGAUGAGUAGUGAACCAGGCCCUGAUGAGUGGGCCACGGUGGAAAUUCACAUUGUCCCACACAAUUAUAUACUUUGGUAGGUGAGGCCCUACGAGACCUCUCUCAUUUUCAGGGAUCAAAUCAGAAUGAAGGCGGUCUAAGAAGAUGAGGAGCUUCUGUGUAUUGUAUGGGCCAAGACUGGGGAUGUGAGUGGCCACACCAUUCUCAGAAAUGGCAGCACACAUAGUUAUAUUGCCCCCACGCUGGCCUGGGACAUCCACCGUGGCCCGGUGGCCAAUAAUAUUACGGCCACGUCUUCGGCCCUUGGCCAGGUUGAAGCCAGCUUCAUCCACAAACAGGAGGAUUUGAGGGGUCUCGUUUCCUUCCAAUGCCAUUAUUCUCUACAAUAGAGUAAAACAAAAUCAUCAAAUCAGUCAUACAGAAGAGUCAUACACUAGAGUAACAGAAAAUUACAGAGGAAUGUUCCCAAAAAAGUUUGGGAACCACUGCUUAAUUGUAAAAAGGUUAUAAAGAUAGAAAACCAGUAACUGACUUACAUGUACAUACUAGUACCGCAGCACUUUUCCUCUAUCAUAGUUCCUCUCAAAUGGUACCCUGUAAAGUUACUUCAUGGUCAUCUGAUGCUUGUUCAAUAUCCAGUCUAUUGUGGAGAUGCUUAUAGAGUUGACAUUUUGGAAUAUGGCAUUGUCUUCUAUGUUUGCAGUGCGGAUCUGUCUCAGUGUGAUGGCAUUAUUUGCCAUCACCAUGUUACAGAUGUCUUGUUCUUGUUGGUCAUUGAGAAGUUUUCCUCUGCCACCCGUGCGAGGUUGUCGUCCAAUCCUAGACAUACAAUUCAAAGGACAACACUGUAUUACCAUUCGUAAUGUAUGCCUAUGUAUUUCUUACAGAAUGAGUUACCAAUGUAAUUGUAUUGUUGUUUUACUUACAGUAACUUUACCACAAUUCUAAUGCAUCACUGCACAAUGACUGUAAUACUACUGUAAACUGUAUCAUCAAUAAUUUGAGAUAUAUAUAUAUAUAUAUAUAUUUCUAGUCAUUUUUAGUGUCAUAACAUCCCUACAGCACACACACACACACACACACACACACACACACACACACACACACACACACACACACACACACACUAAAUGAAUCGGUAAAUAAGUAAAUAAAUACAUCUCUUGCUUUAUGCACAGUGUCCUGUCCUAUUCAACAUAUAAUUCCAUCAUUGACUGAGUACAUACCUGUUUUCCCUGCGAAAGGUUUGGAUGAUGGAGGAGACUGUAGAGCGGGGCAAAUUACGCUGCACUCGGCGACCUGCCUCCGCCAUUGUUAGGCGAUGGUUGAUAACAUGGUCUAAAAGUGUGGCCCAAAUUUCAUCCGGGACAACAUGGUGUCCUCGUGCUCCUCGGCCUCUUCCCCCUAUUCUACCGCCACGCACCCUUACUCCUCCUCCUCUUCUUCCUCUUCCUCAAGCAGGCAUUUGCCCUUGUUCAUUUACUUGGCCAGGUGCCUCCAUGUUGAGAAAUUGUACUGGUCCUGGUCAAGCUCUAUACAUGCAUGUUUGGCAGCAUUCACAAUCAUGGGCAGCACCUGUCAGGUUACUAAACAUAUUGUUUGAUUGGUCAUCUGAGAUGUGUGAAACUCCUCCUUCGUUAGUCAAGUUCUAUUUUCACCUGACUGUCAGUUAAUCAAUUUAUCAAAUGUUCCAAGAGAUUCAUUUAUGGUAGUCAUGGUAUUAGGUUCUUGACUAAUUUUGAAAAUUGAACGGACUAUUGUGCAUGUGAUAUCUUAUACAAUGAAAUGAUGCUGACAUGUUUUGGAGAGAACAACCAUUAGACUGAGAAUCAACAAUCAGUUUAGAUCAACAAGAUCUAUUCACUUGGAAAUUGUGCUAAAUGUAGGCUAACUGUGCUAACUGUAGGCUACCUGUACUUAAUCAUUUCCAAAGAUGUACUAAGACAUUUGCAAUUUGAUGAAAUGAAUGAGAAAUUCAAUUCUGUUGUAAACAAUUGCCAAGUGGUUUGGAGGUUUGUCCAUGUUAUUUUGAGAAUGUAAUUUCUGUUCCAAGAAAUGAGCCAAACCAAUGGAGAAAAACUGUAAUAUGAGGAAUCAACUUAGCUGGUAUACCUUAGUGGUUUACACCACAGACUUUGGUACAGAAGGUUGGGGGUUCGAUUUCAGGUGUGGGCCCUUAGGCAAGGCCCUUAAUGCUACCUGCCUCGAUGACUGUGAGUCGCUUUGGACGAAAUGAAUGCAAUGUAAUUCAAAUUUCUCGAACCGUUCAUCCCGUCUAAUUCACACGUUGCUGGUGACACAAGGAAAUGCAGGUGUGAAUUUGGUGCAAUUUGGACACUACUAUGAAUAUCAAUACGUUCUAAAUAAACAGGCCGAUAGAGUUUGGUAGCAGCGGGCGAUGGCCGACGACAACUGAGGUGUUCUGCGAACUGAGUGCAGCUUCACUGAUCUUUGAAUAAACAGGCGACCAGGUCUUCGUGCGCUGCUUCAGGGCUCUGCAGGUUGAGUCCGCCAUGUCCUCACCAAGUCCGCAGCCAGUCUUUACUUGUUGCGGCUCAAUAACUAUCGCUCACUUUAGCCGUUCAAGAAAGCUACAACCAGCAACACAACAGGCCGAACAAAACCGGCCCAUUCCAAACAGACCUUUACAAAAGGCACCGCACCAAUAUGACUUUGUGAAAUGUACAAAGUGUGGUUUGUACUGUAGUAACAAACCCACAGAGAGUCUAAUGUUCCCUCCUGCAUUUUAGCCUCUUUCUGCUCUUUUUUUUUUCAUUUCAUAGCCCACCAACUUAGGUUCGCCCUCACCACCAACAUCAUUGUCUCUCUGAGCAGAUGUUUCUAGAAAAAAGAAAUAAAGCUCAGAUAGAGCAGCUGCACGUGACCUGUCCCCUUACCAAACAGAUGGUGACCAACAUGAUCUGUUUGACUUACCCCAGACAGCCAUGAAUACGGCGAAGAAAACGGUUGCCCCGUUGUCGAAAAGAUGGGUGACCUGAAAAUGAAGAAAGAAAGUCACUAGAUAGAUAAAUAUACAUAUUUUCUAAAAAGCAUUCAUAGUUCAUAGUUACUGUUUAUCUCAACAGAGAAACGCGUCAAUGUGCUUAAUCAUUUUGAGUAAAAAAUAAAAUCACAUUUUGAUAGACAUGGUUGGCUCGCUGGCAAAGUUUCCACAGGAACAAUAAAAACGCGCAUCACAUCAGCGGUCGGGAAAACUGCGUCCGUGCAGUGCUGCAGUGACCGUACCUUGGCGUAGAUACAGCUGUCGGACAGUCUCAGGUAGGGGCAGUACUGGUCACAGAUGGGACACAUGAUGAUGUCAGUGGCCUGGCAGAUUUCUUUACUGAAGGAAAAACAAACAGCAUUAAGCUCAUCAGAUUCCGGCUAAGCCUGGCAUCGCAGUGAACAGAAACUCCAGGGUCAACCAAACUUUGGGCUGUCAGAACAAAACGAAAGCAGGUGUUUGCGAGAGGGUGUUUGCGUGUGUGUGUGUGUGUGUGUGUGUGUAUCAGUUCGUUUCAUUUCCAAGUUUGUUGAUUGAACAAUGAUGCUGUUUUAAGAAAUAAAAUGAAUUACUUAAAAUUA